This 187-nucleotide unclassified non-coding RNA is filed under the name soil metagenome. Its description in RNAcentral is "partial internal transcribed spacer 1". The record is from RNAcentral.
CACAAUAAAAUAUGAAGGCUGUACGCGGCUGUGCUCUCGGGCCAGUUUGCGGAGGCUGAAUUAUUUAUUACCCUUGUCUUUUGCGCACUUGUUGUUUCCUGGGCGGGUUCGCCCGCCACCAGGACCACAUCAUAAACCUUUUUAUGCAGUUGCAAUCAGCGUCAGUAUAACAAAUGUAAAUCAUUUA